Molecule: ribosomal RNA, 253 nt
Filed under: uncultured bacterium
Lineage: Bacteria
Description: partial 16S ribosomal RNA
Rfam family: Bacterial small subunit ribosomal RNA
Source: RNAcentral
UACGUAGGGGCCGAGCGUUGUCCGGAGUUAUUGGGCGUAAAGCGCGCGCAGGCGGCCUCGCGCGCCCGACGUGAAAGCCCCCGGCUCAACCGGGGAGGGUCGUCGGGGACUGGCGGGCUUGAGGUCGGCAGGGGUUGGUGGAAUUCCCGGUGUAGUGGUGAAAUGCGUAGAGAUCGGGAGGAACACCCGUGGCGAAGGCGGCCAACUGGGCCGGACCUGACGCUGAGGCGCGAAGGCGUGGGGAGCGAACGGG